This is a long non-coding RNA of Vitis riparia (riverbank grape), 440 nucleotides long. RefSeq lists it as uncharacterized. The record is from RefSeq and is a predicted model, not a curated record. NCBI's taxonomy places the organism in Eukaryota, Viridiplantae, Streptophyta, Magnoliopsida, Vitales, Vitaceae. The transcript has 3 exons.
GUUUUUAGGUCUUGUUGGAUAUCCGAGUGAUGACAUUAAUAAGUUCCUGUGGAUGGUUCGCAUAGGAGGGGGGGUAUUCCCUCACAUCAAGGAACCUGAUUAUCUGGUGUUCACUACUCACCAUUGGAUGGUUCGGAUAUACAAAUUAAAACCUCCGAAGAACAGGAUCCGUGUAAAAACAAAGAAAUCAAAAUCGAAAGCAAGCUCCACAACCAGCUCAAAAAAAAAAUGGAAAAAAAAAAGAAGAAUCCCUGGCAAUGAAAGGCACUUUCAGAAGAUGCUGUCUCCAAUCAGUUACUUGUAACCCACAUAUUUAAUAUCCAAAACACUAAUUCGUUCUCUUAAAAGUAAUUUCUACAGCAAUUUUAUCGUGGUCAAUCCCAAACAGGCCUUUAUUAUGAUUUCUAUAUCCAUAUCCUCUCUUUUCAAUUUCUUCCUUU